Molecule: transfer RNA, 76 nt
Filed under: Hyliota flavigaster
Lineage: Eukaryota; Metazoa; Chordata; Aves; Passeriformes; Hyliotidae
Description: tRNA-Asp
Source: RNAcentral
GAGGUGUUAGUAAAAUAAUUACAUAGCCUUGUCAAGGCUAAAUUACAGGAGAAAAACCAGUACACCUCAACACUAA